GACAUGAUGCUCCUGGGAAGAUGCUCUUGAGAGCUGGGUGGAAGCCAGGAGAGCCCUAGUUAGGCACAAGGGCAAUCAGGCAGCAGCAGCCACCAGGAAGACCUGUCUGUCUCUAAAGCCCACUGGAGAACUUUGCAGCUCUGAAAAGCCUCAGAUCAGAUCUUCUAGUAUCCCCAGAGAGUGUUGGAGGUUGGUUGGGUCUCACACCCUAUGUGACCUCCCACGGGACGGAAACACCCCCAUAUUUAAAAAGAAAUAAGGAGAAAGAGGUGUUUCGUUGUCAGGUGGAGACGAACGGAUGCUCAGCUGCACUACAUCCACCAUG
This 325-nucleotide non-coding RNA is filed under the name Mus musculus (house mouse). Lineage: Eukaryota; Metazoa; Chordata; Mammalia; Rodentia; Muridae. The record is from RNAcentral.